RNAcentral lists this ribosomal RNA (400 nucleotides) under uncultured eukaryote. Its description in RNAcentral is "eukaryotic LSU rRNA". It matches the Rfam family "Eukaryotic large subunit ribosomal RNA", at positions 1096 to 1494 of the family's 3401-position model. The record is from RNAcentral.
GGACCCCGGACGUGAAGUCGACGAUGGUCGGUGGGCUGGUUUUGGUAAGCAGAACGGGCGAUUCGGGAUGAACCGGAAGCGGGGAGAAAGGGCCCGAGAUUGCGUCGACGCGGAUCCCGAAAAGGGCGUCGAUCCGUCGCGACAGCGGGACGGUGGUCAUGGAAGUCGAAAAUCCGCUAAGAAGCGUGUAAAAACGUACCCCGCCCAACGGAUCGGCCCCGAAAAUUGAUGGCGCUCGAACGCAACCCUCGAACCCCGCCGACGGAGGCUAGGGGAGGCCCCGUCGAGUAGGCGGACGCGCGGGUCGCUUCGACGCUCCCGCGCGAGCGGGGGCGGAGCGGCCCGUGGUGCAGAUCUUGGUGGUAGUAGCGAUCACCCAGGCGAGAACCCUGAGGGCCGU